Molecule: long non-coding RNA, 408 nt
Organism: Melospiza melodia melodia
Lineage: Eukaryota; Metazoa; Chordata; Aves; Passeriformes; Passerellidae
Exons: 3
Source: RefSeq, a predicted model, not a curated record
AUUACAGCUAUGAAUUGGAAGGUUGUGUUAAAUGACUAAGUUCAGUUGAAACAUGAUUACAGUCCUUGCAACCUUCAAGAACUGUGGUGGAGUUUUCUUAAUACAGGAAUACUUUGUGGGGCAAGGACCGAGGAUGGAUUAUGAACCACUUGGUGCACAUUUCCUCUAAAGGCCCUUGGUGAAUGCACUCAUGCAACACGCACUGAGCACUGCCUGUAGCCAUGUGCCAGUGGUGCAGGGUGUUUGAGUGGCAUCCACAUCGCACAGCACCCACCUGUGAGCACUUCUGGUCCUUCUGGAAAAUCAUGAGUUGUGUCACUUGCUGCCUCUUGCUGGCACACAGGGAGCUUCUGGUGUCUGAACCCACACUGCCUGAAGAAAUGUCCUGAAGCUGCAGCUUCUGCCCAA